This 253-nucleotide ribosomal RNA is filed under the name uncultured bacterium. RNAcentral describes it as "partial 16S ribosomal RNA". It matches the Rfam family "Bacterial small subunit ribosomal RNA", at positions 524 to 776 of the family's 1533-position model. The record is from RNAcentral.
GACGGAGGAUGCAAGCGUUAUCCGGAAUUAUUGGGCGUAAAGCGUACGUAGGUGGCAGUUCAAGUCUGCUGUGAAAGACCGGGGCUUAACUUCGGAAAGGCAGUGGAAACUGAACAGCUAGAGUAUGGUAGGGGCAGAGGGAAUUCCUGGUGUAGCGGUGAAAUGCGUAGAGAUCAGGGAGAACAUCAGUGGCGAAGGCGCUCUGCUGGACCAUAACUGACACUCAGGUACGAAAGCUAGGGGAGCGAAUGGG